Molecule: long non-coding RNA, 671 nt
Organism: Lemur catta (Ring-tailed lemur)
Lineage: Eukaryota; Metazoa; Chordata; Mammalia; Primates; Lemuridae
Exons: 3
Source: RefSeq, a predicted model, not a curated record
GCCAGAUUCUGUCUCAAAACAAACAAACAAACAAACAAACAAAAAAACUUACUUCCAUACAAUUCUUUCAGAUUGUGUGGCUUAGCAUUCUGAAACAAGUCUGAACAGAGCUAAAAUUCACCCUCAGUGAUUCUCUGCACUGAUAUAUGUAAACAAACCCUUGACCCUUAGACUAUGUUUUAGUUUCCCUUUAAAAACUGAAUUACAAGUGCUGUAUUGAUCAUUUGUAUAUAUUUGUCCCUAGGUAUACAUGGGGGAUCAGUUCCAGGACCACUUCCCCAAUACCAAAAUUCGUGCAUACUCAAGUCCUACAUUUGGCCCUGUGAAACCCGAUUAGAUAUACAAAAAGGCAGCCCUCCACGUACUCAGACGAUGGUACUGCUGGUGGCCAAAAGAAUAAAACAUUAAGAGAAGAAACAGCAUUUGAAUUUGGUGUCCUGAAUGUGAAAGGAUAAUAGAUAUUCAUCAGUAAAAGAAAAUGCCUCUUGCCUGACUGCCUUUGAGCUGGUAUUUUCCUGUCUUCAGACUCAAACUAUAACAUCAGCUCUCUCUGGAUCUCAGGCCUGUCAGUCUUCAGACUCUGCGGGUCUUCAGCUUGCCGACUCACCCAGAAGAUCUUGCAAUUUGUCAGCCUCCAUAAUGAUGGAACCAAUUUUUUAUAAUAAAUCUCU